CGGACGGGUGAGUAAUGUCUGGGAAACUGCCUGAUGGAGGGGGAUAACUACUGGAAACGGUAGCUAAUACCGCAUAACGUCGCAAGACCAAAGAAGGGGGACCUUAGGGCCUCUUGCCAUCGGAUGUGCCCAGAUGGGAUUAGCUAGUAGGUGGGGUAACGGCUCACCUAGGCGACGAUCCCUAGCUGGUCUGAGAGGAUGACCAGCCACACUGGAACUGAGACACGGUCCAG
This 233-nucleotide ribosomal RNA is filed under the name uncultured bacterium. RNAcentral describes it as "partial 16S ribosomal RNA". It matches the Rfam family "Bacterial small subunit ribosomal RNA", at positions 99 to 334 of the family's 1533-position model. The record is from RNAcentral.